ACAAGCUCGAGUCGCCUCCCCUUUCCCGCCUCAAAACUCCCGCUAACAAGGGCUGGCACUGAACCGAAGAGGAGGUGGCGGUUACCCGAGCGCGCGCGUGCGCACCCGGACUCGGAGCCAUCUUGCACAGGCGCACUGCAACAGAAGUUGGUCCAGGAAAAGCGAUUACCUCACUCACUGUGUCCCUCUUUUAAGGAAACUCAUUGCUAUCAGGACAGUGGGCCACUUCUGCACCCUUCCUCCUAACCAGCUGCUUUCCCAGAUUCUCAAAUGGGAAUUAUCUUGGUCUAUGUUUUCAUACAGGAACUUUUGACAAGCCUGCUUGCUGCUCUUUCGCUGGUGGAAGGACCAGACAUCUUGCAUUGGCACAUACAUUUAUAUUAAAAAUUGCAUAAAGCCCUAAUAUUUAUAUGUAACAUACAUAGUACAUUUAAAUUGCUUUUUGUCUUCAAAGCAUUUUAAUAAUUCAUCUUCAGCUGCCUGAGGCUUGCAGUUUGUGGGGUCAACACCACUUCCCCCCAAACCACAGCCAUGUUUAGACCUGGUUUUCAAAGGUGCCUUGCACAUGCAGCUCCAAAUAAGGGUCAUGGUACCAAAUUAGCUGGCAAAAAAUUGACAUGCAAAAUUAUAGACCUCUUCUAUGUUGAUGUAAGUAACUUGUUUAAGGUCACAAAAGGCAGCGUCUGAGGAAGUCACAUGCAUAAUCCAUCAGCUUAUCCUGCCUCUUCAUACUGUCAAAGCAGUUACAAACAUUGUAUUCUUACUUGCCUGGAUAAGUGAACAGAAAUUACUUGUUCAAGUUCAGUUUCAAUACUGCAGUUAAUACUAGUUCGCUAUAAUUCCAUAAAAUAUAUCCUUACUGCUACAGGUGUGAUAAAUGAAAGGGGGAGUGGGGGAUACCUCCCUUUUAUGAACACCCAGCCAGCCAGUUAGCUACACAAUCCCUGUUAGUAGCUGUUCUCUGCUUGCUUUACCUGUAAAGGGUUAAAAAAAGCCAAUAGGUAAAAGGAAGGGAGCAGGCACCAGACCAAAGGAGCCAAUGGGAGGGCUAGAACUUUUUAAAAUUGGGGGAAAAAAACUUUCCCUUUGUCUGUCUGUCUGUCGUUCCCCAGAGAGAGGGGACAAAGCAGGGCCAGAGCUGGGACUAUGCUGUAAAAAGCUUUGAGCCAAGUAUGAAAAAUCAUCAAUCAUACCUAGAAACUACUUACUGAAAACCCUAUAUAUGUAAGUAGAUCAGGAAAUGUCUAGGAAGAUGCGAUUAGGUUUAUUUCUUUGUGGCUUGUGGACUCCUCUGUGCUAACCCCCAAAUGCUUUUGUUUUGCUGUAACCAUUAAGCUGGACCUCAAGAAAACCAUUCUUGAUGCUUGAUUAUUAUAUUUCCUCUUUUUAAAUUUAGUAAUAGCGUAAGUUCCAGAUGUUUUCUUUCUUUUUGUUUUUAAUAAAGUUUACCCUUUUUAAGAA
This is a long non-coding RNA of Chelonia mydas (Green sea turtle), 1461 nucleotides long. RefSeq lists it as uncharacterized. NCBI's taxonomy places the organism in Eukaryota, Metazoa, Chordata, Testudines, Cheloniidae. The transcript is spliced from 2 exons. The record is from RefSeq and is a predicted model, not a curated record.